AGGGCCGCUACCACGCGAGUGGAUGCCAAUCCCCAAAACCUCUCUCAGUUCGGACUGGAGUCUGCAACCCGACUCCACGAAGCUGGAUUCGCUAGUAAUCGCGCAUCAGCCAUGGCGCGGUGAAUACGUUCCCGGGCCUUGUACACACCGCCCGUCAAGCCAUGGGAGCCGGGAGCGCUUGAAGUGCGUCGCCGCGAGGCGCGCCCUAGAGCGAGACCGGUGACUGGGGCUAAGUCGUAACAAGGUAAC
RNAcentral lists this ribosomal RNA (249 nucleotides) under uncultured bacterium. RNAcentral describes it as "partial 16S ribosomal RNA". It matches the Rfam family "Bacterial small subunit ribosomal RNA", at positions 1243 to 1500 of the family's 1533-position model. The record is from RNAcentral.